RNAcentral lists this transfer RNA (87 nucleotides) under Chloroflexota bacterium. RNAcentral's name for it is "Chloroflexi bacterium (anaerobic digester metagenome) tRNA-Ser". It matches the Rfam family "tRNA". From Rfam's summary of the family: Transfer RNA (tRNA) molecules are approximately 80 nucleotides in length. Lineage: Bacteria; Bacillati; Chloroflexota. The record is from RNAcentral.
GGAGAGGUAGCAUAGUUUGGUCGAAUGCGCGCGCCUGGAGAGCGCGUGAGCAGCAAUGCUCCGUGGGUUCAAAUCCCACCCUCUCCG